GACGAACGCUGGCGGCGUGCUUAACACAUGCAAGUCGAACGGGAAGGCCCUGCUUGCAGGGUGCUCGAGUGGCGAACGGGUGCGUAACACGUGGGUGAUCUGCCCCUUACUUUGGGAUAAGCCUGGGAAACUGGGUCUAAUACUGGAUAGGACCAUGCUGUAGGUGGUGUGUUGGAAAGAUUUUUUCGGUAAGGGAUGAGCUCGCGGCCUAUCAGCUUGUUGGUGGGGUAAUGGCCUACCAAGGGGUCGACGGGUAGCCGGCCUGAGAGGGUGGACGGCCACAGUGGGACUGAGAUACGGCCCAGACUCCUACGGGAGGCAGCAGUGUGGAAUAUUGCACAAUGGGCGCAAGCCUGAUGCAGCGACGACGCGUGGGGGAUGACGGCCUUCGGGUUGUAAACUCCUUUCAGCCAUGACGAAGCCUCUUUUGGGGUGACGGUAGUGGUAGAAGAAGCACCGGCUAACUACGUG
Molecule: ribosomal RNA, 471 nt
Filed under: uncultured bacterium
Lineage: Bacteria
Description: partial 16S ribosomal RNA
Rfam family: Bacterial small subunit ribosomal RNA
Source: RNAcentral